GAGCCGAAUGGGAUCCAGGUGAGGAGAUGGGUGGGGAAACUCAGGUGAGGGGAAUGAGGUGAUUGCAGGGCAGAUGGGUGUGGCAGGAUCUGCAAUGACAGGAGAGUAAGAGAUCAGGCAGGUGAACAACAUGAAUAGUCACUAAGACGGUGAACCCGUGACAGUGAAGUCUUUUUUCAUCUGAGCAGGAUCAGCUGCAAUCACAACCACAGCUUGGUGAGCUGACAUUCUUAAGUCCUGCAGGGCCACUUCAAAUAUGGCUGUCAUUGGGUUUGGUUGAACCUCUGUCCAGAAAUCUUCCAACUUUGGACUGGCUGAGGGUGCCUUGAUCGUGUCUACAGCUUGGGCAGUUUUCAUCUGUUCCUGGAAAAAGUUUGGCCAAUCUACUGCUGGUUGGGUGAAGUCUAUGGACUACUUUAAACUGUAACAGUCCAUGUCAUUAAAGACGUAUGUACUGACCUGUCCGCUAACUGCCACAUUACUUCCACACCAGAAUCCUCCUCUGACAUCAAAAAGUGUAUUUGCCUCUUCCAACAUGUCAACAUCAUCGCUGUCAACAUUAGACUGAAGAUAUCACAUCAAAGAUGUUCCCCUCUGUCUCAUUCACUUCCUUACACAGGCUUCAUUUACCCUAUGAUAGCAGUCAGUGAUGUUAUAUUGAUUUGUGGCACCAAACUUAGCGAAGGCCUUGUCUCAGGCUGUGAUUGACAGCACUGCCUCAUGUGGGCACUGACACCGGAACUGAAACAUUGACUGUAGGCUCGAACCAAAAUCAAUCAAGAUCACUUUGGCAUGACCAACUCAGCCUGUCUUUCCAUAGCUGUCAGGUGACUUGUCAGAUGGAGAACUGUAUGAUGACUGUGUGAUGAAGGCCCUAUGUAAACAUUGUUGGGGUCCAAUGUGUAUUUUCCUAGCCAGACUACUGACAUGACUACAGUUGCAACUGUUGACAUAAAUAGCAACAUUGUUCAGUCAGAGUAUGUUUUCCUGUUUUAGUUUUUGUUGUUGGUGAAAUGGACUCAUUAAAUUACAUGCAGAUUGAUGUAUAGCA
Thunnus maccoyii (southern bluefin tuna) is the source of this 1051-nucleotide long non-coding RNA. RefSeq lists it as uncharacterized. NCBI's taxonomy places the organism in Eukaryota, Metazoa, Chordata, Actinopteri, Scombriformes, Scombridae. The transcript has 2 exons. The record is from RefSeq and is a predicted model, not a curated record.